Molecule: ribosomal RNA, 406 nt
Filed under: uncultured bacterium
Lineage: Bacteria
Description: partial 16S ribosomal RNA
Rfam family: Bacterial small subunit ribosomal RNA
Source: RNAcentral
AUUGAACGCUGGCGGCAGGCCUAACACAUGCAAGUCGAGCGAGCGGCGGACGGGUGAGAAAAGUCUGGGAAACUGCCUGAUGGAGGGGGAUAACUACUGGAAAAGGUAGCUAAUACCGCAUACCAUCAGAUGUGCCCCGAUGGGAUUAGCUAGUAGGUGGGGUAACGGCGCACCUAGGCGACGAGCCCUAGCUGGGCUGAGAGGAUGACCAGCCACACUGGGACUGAGACACGGUCCAGACUCCUACGGGAGGCAGCAGUGGGGAAUAUUGCACAAUGGGCGCAAGCCUGAUGCAGCCAUGCCGCGUGUAUGAAGAAGGCCUUCGGGUUGUAAAGUACUUUCAGCGGGGAGGCGUUACCCGCAGAAGAAGCACCGGCUAACUCCGUGCCAGCAGCCGCGGUAAUUC